Molecule: ribosomal RNA, 234 nt
Filed under: uncultured Sphingomonadales bacterium
Lineage: Bacteria; Pseudomonadati; Pseudomonadota; Alphaproteobacteria; Sphingomonadales
Description: partial 16S ribosomal RNA
Rfam family: Bacterial small subunit ribosomal RNA
Source: RNAcentral
CCUUCGGGUCUAGUGGCGCACGGGUGCGUAACGCGUGGGAAUCUGCCCUUGGGUUCGGAAUAACUUCGGGAAACUGAAGCUAAUACCGGAUGAUGACGUAAGUCCAAAGAUUUAUCGCCCAAGGAUGAGCCCGCGUAGGAUUAGCUAGUUGGUGAGGUAAAGGCUCACCAAGGCGACGAUCCUUAGCUGGUCUGAGAGGAUGAUCAGCCACACUGGGACUGAGACACGGCCCAG